CACCGCGCCUCACUGAGUCGCCGGCCGCUAGAUCCUCCGGGUCCUCGCCUAGCUCUCUCCCGCGGUGCGGGCGCGUCCCCAAGGCCCGGGUGCCAGGCGUGCUUCCUUGCUCAUCCCAAGCCUCCCGCGAGGACUGCUGAGGCCGCAGGAGUGGUUGGAAGAACAGUGCACAUGAAUCUUUGACAUCAUGAUGUACAUCCGGCAAAGAAGAGAGACGAAAACCGUAGAAGUUUCCGAGGGUUGUCCAUCACCGAAAGAAAAUGUGAAGUUGGAAAAGAAACUGCCAUCUGGUUGUGCCCCUGGAAGGUUCUGGAAGAUCCUGUCAUCUGUGGUUGGCGGAAUCGUGGCCCUUUGCAUUGGACUUCUUACAUCUGUCUACCUGGCCACCCUGCAUGAGAAUGAUUUG
Microtus oregoni (creeping vole) is the source of this 406-nucleotide long non-coding RNA. RefSeq lists it as uncharacterized. The transcript is spliced from 3 exons. The record is from RefSeq and is a predicted model, not a curated record. Lineage: Eukaryota; Metazoa; Chordata; Mammalia; Rodentia; Cricetidae.